ACAAGUACCGUGAGGGAAAGUUGCAAAGCACUUUGAAGAGAGAGUUAAAGAGGACGUGAAACCGGUAAGGUGGAAACGGAUAGAGUCGGCGUAUCAUUCAAUUAUUCAGUUACAUUAUUUUUAUGUUGUGACCUCUGAGCUCCAGAUUGGGACAGAGGGAAUCAGCAUAAUUUAUUGUGGUGCAUUUACUUGAUUGGUGCUUGGGGAUGUUUGAGGCAGAUUUGUUUCCGUCGUUUUGAGGCCAGCUUGCUGGUACCCAAACGGUGUUAGCAUUUUUUGUCUUGGGCAUUUGAGUAUGGCUCACGUGUAUUUAUUGGACAGAUCUGAGUGUAAGUUACGGUCGCAUGCGACACGUGCUUUUCAAUUAGUUCGGUCCAGUUAAUGCUCUCGUACUCGUUCCCCAUGUAAAAGCCGGUCAUCUAUCCGACCCGUCUUGAAACACGGACCAAGGAGUUUAUCGUGUGCGCAAGUUUUUGGGUGUUAAAAACUUAAAAGCGAAAUGAAAGUAAAUGACUCUUUAGAGUCUGAUGUGCGAUCUUGUAAAAAAGUGUAGCAUGGCCCCAUUCUAGCUGUUUACAGUAGGGUGGCGGAAGAGCGUACGCGGUGAGACCCGAAAGAUGGUGAACUAUUCCUGAGCAGGACGAAGCCAGAGGAAACUCUGGUGGAAGUCCGAAGCGGUUCUGACGUGCAAAUCGAUCGUCUGACUUGGGUAUAGGGGCGAAAGACUAAUCGAACCAUCUAGUAGCUGGUUCCUUCCGA
This 759-nucleotide ribosomal RNA is filed under the name Meloidogyne incognita (southern root-knot nematode). RNAcentral describes it as "eukaryotic LSU rRNA". It matches the Rfam family "Eukaryotic large subunit ribosomal RNA", at positions 344 to 964 of the family's 3401-position model. The record is from RNAcentral. Lineage: Eukaryota; Metazoa; Nematoda; Chromadorea; Rhabditida; Meloidogynidae.